AUACGGAUGGUGCAAGCGUUACUCGGAAUCACUGGGCGUAAAGCGCGCGCAGGCGGCUACUUAAGUUGGAUGUGAAAGCCUACGGCUCAACCGUAGAACUGCAUCCAAAACUAUUUAGCUAGAGUGUGGGAGAGGAAGAUGGAAUUAGUUGUGUAGGGGUAAAAUCCGUAGAGAUAACUAGGAAUACCAAAAGCGAAGGCAAUCUUCUGGAACACUACUGACGCUGAGGCGCGAAAGCGUGGGGAGCAAACGGGAUUAGAAACCCUUGUAGUCC
This 274-nucleotide ribosomal RNA is filed under the name uncultured bacterium. RNAcentral's name for it is "partial 16S ribosomal RNA". It matches the Rfam family "Bacterial small subunit ribosomal RNA", at positions 523 to 796 of the family's 1533-position model. The record is from RNAcentral.